CAGCCGCCGCGGUAACCCCAGCGCCACAAGUGGGAACCACGCUUAUUGGGUCUAAAGCAUCCGUAGCCGGUUCUGCAAAUGCCCUGUGAAAUCGUUGCGCUUAACGUAACGGCGUGCAGGGUAGACUACAGAACUAGAGACCAGAGGAAGGAGACGGUAUUCCUGAGGGAGCGGUAAAAUGUGAUAAUCUCAGGAGGACCACCGAUGGCGAAGGCAGUCUUCUAAUAUGGAUCUGACGGUGAGGGAUGAAAGCUAGGGGAGCGAUCCGGAUUAAAUACCCGAGUAGUCCUAUUCGUAAACGCUGCAUGCGUUUCCCCUUUUGGUCCUCGGGAUUGCGGGGGGGCUAAAAGGGGCGAUUUCCCCCCCCCCCCAUUUUAAUUCCCCUCGAGGGGGUUAUAUUUACAGUUAAAACGGGGGAAAAAA
This 423-nucleotide ribosomal RNA is filed under the name uncultured archaeon. RNAcentral describes it as "partial 16S ribosomal RNA". The stretch from base 1 to 364 matches the Rfam family "Archaeal small subunit ribosomal RNA", at positions 459 to 828 of the family's 1478-position model. The record is from RNAcentral.